GCCUAGUAUGUGAUAGGUAAAUCAACUUCCCUACCAAUCACUGGUAUCGGCCCCUAUCAAUUGAUUUCCCAUCCAUCGCAAACUUUAGAUUCGGGUCAAUUGAAGUUUCAGCUGGUCUACAACCACUCAUUCCCGUUUCUUUUAACAGAUCAAGAACAUACUUCCUUUGUGACACUAUAAUUCCUUGUUUCGAUCCAGGAGAGCUCUUUAGAUACCUUCGGAUUCGAUGCACAGCUUCUUGGUGUUCUUCUCGUGGAGAAUGCAUGAACUGACUAACUAGGCUCACAACAAAGGCAAUAUCAGGCCUAGUAUGUGAUAGGUAAAUCAACUUCCCUACCAAUCACUGGUAUCGGCCCCUAUCAAUUGAUUUCCCAUCCAUCGCAAACUUUAGAUUCGGGUCAAUUGAAGUUUCAGCUGGUCUACAACCACUCAUUCCCGUUUCUUUUAACAGAUCAAGAACAUACUUCCUUUGUGACACUAUAAUUCCUUGUUUCGAUCCAGGAGAGCUCUUUAGAUACCUUCGGAUUCGAUGCACAGCUUCUUGGUGUUCUUCUCGUGAGAAUGCAUGAACUGACUAACUAGGCUCACAACAAAGGCAAUAUCAGGCCUAGUAUGUGACAGGUAAAUCGACUUCCCUACCAAUCACUGGUAUCGGCCCCUAUCAAUUGAUUUCCCAUCCAUCGCAAACUUUAGAUUCGGGUCAAUUGAAGUUUCAGCUGGUCUACAACCACUCAUUCCCNN
RNAcentral lists this long non-coding RNA (741 nucleotides) under Capsicum annuum. RNAcentral describes it as "long non-coding RNA (CANN_LNC021313)". The record is from RNAcentral. Lineage: Eukaryota; Viridiplantae; Streptophyta; Magnoliopsida; Solanales; Solanaceae.